Molecule: ribosomal RNA, 253 nt
Filed under: uncultured bacterium
Lineage: Bacteria
Description: partial 16S ribosomal RNA
Rfam family: Bacterial small subunit ribosomal RNA
Source: RNAcentral
UACAGAGGUCCCAAGCGUUGUUCGGAUUCACUGGGCGUAAAGGGUGCGUAGGUGGUGAGGUAAGUCGGAUGUGAAAUCUCCGAGCUCAACUCGGAAAUGGCAUUGGAAACUACCUUGCUCGAGGGUUGGAGGGGGGACUGGAAUGCUUGGUGUAGCAGUGAAAUGCGUAGAUAUCAAGCGGAACACCAGUGGCGAAGGCGAGUCUCUGGACAUUUCCUGACGCUGAGGCACGAAAGCCAGGGGAGCAAACGGG